UCUUGGGUCAUUUAGAGGAAGUAAAAGUCGUAACAAGGUUUCCGUAGGUGACCUGCGGAGGAUCAUUACUGAACUGUCAACACGAGUUGUUGCUGGUCCUCAAAUGGGGGCAUGUGCACACUCUGUUUACACAUCCACUCACACCUGUGCACCCUCUGUAGUUCUGUGGCAUGGGGGACUCUGUCCUCCUGUUGUGGCUCUACAUCUUUACACACACUCUGUAACAAAGUCUCAUGGAAUGUAUGUCGCGUUUAACGCAAUACAAUACAACUUUCAGCAACGGAUCUCUUGGCUCUCGCAUCGAUGAAGAACGCAGCGAAAUGCGAUAAGUAAUGUGAAUUGCAGAAUUCAGUGAAUCAUCGAAUCUUUGAACGCACCUUGCGCCCUUUGGCUAUUCCGAAGGGCAUGCCUGUUUGAGUAUCAUGAACACCUCAACUCUCGUGGUUUGCUACGAUGAGCUUGGACUUUGGGGGUUUUGCUGGCCUGCGGUCGGCUCCUCUCAAAUGAAUCAGCUUCCCAGUGUUUGGUGGAGUCGCAGGUGUGAUAACUAUCUACGCUUGUGGUUUUUCACCAGAUAACCUUCGGUGACGGAGGUUUGCUGGGGCUCAUAAAUGUCUUUCCUCAGUGAAGACAGCCUUUGAACGUUGAUCUCAAAUCAGGUAGGACUACCCGCUGAACUUAAGCAUAUCAAUAGCCG
Molecule: ribosomal RNA, 697 nt
Filed under: uncultured Tomentella
Lineage: Eukaryota; Fungi; Basidiomycota; Agaricomycetes; Thelephorales; Thelephoraceae
Description: eukaryotic LSU rRNA
Rfam family: 5.8S ribosomal RNA (bases 269-423)
Source: RNAcentral